GUCUAUGGCCUUACCACCCUGAAUGCGCCUGAUCUCAUCUGAUCUCGGAAGCUAAGCAAGGUUGGGCCUGGUUAGUACUUGGAAGGGAGACAACUGUUGACC
Molecule: ribosomal RNA, 102 nt
Filed under: Cavia porcellus (domestic guinea pig)
Lineage: Eukaryota; Metazoa; Chordata; Mammalia; Rodentia; Caviidae
Source: RNAcentral